RNAcentral lists this ribosomal RNA (254 nucleotides) under uncultured bacterium. RNAcentral describes it as "partial 16S ribosomal RNA". It matches the Rfam family "Bacterial small subunit ribosomal RNA", at positions 524 to 776 of the family's 1533-position model. The record is from RNAcentral.
UACGGAGGGAGCUAGCGUUGUUCGGAAUUACUGGGCGUAAAGCGCACGUAGGCGGCUUUGUAAGUUAGAGGUGAAAGCCCGGGGCUCAACUCCGGAAUUGCCUUUAAGACUGCAUCGCUUGAAUCCGGGAGAGGUGAGUGGAAUUCCGGAGUGUAGAGGUGAAAUUCGUAGAUAUUGGGAAGAACACCGGUGGCGAAGGCGGCUCUCUGGCCCGCAACUGACGCUGAGGCGCGAAAGCGUGGGGAGCAAACAGG